UGAGUAUCGGCAAGUCAAGGUGCCUGAACAAGGCUUAAAAGGGAAUCCGGUGAAAAUCCGGAACUGUCCCCGCAACUGUAAAUGCGUACGAACGGGUCAUAUCCACUGUAUCGAAGGGCCGGCGCUCCAAGACGCGUCCUCCGCACCAAUCCGGCCAUUCGAUGCGGGAAGGGACCCAAGUAGGAUGAUGCAUGAGUCAGGAGACCUGCCUUGCUUGCCUAAAGUUU
RNAcentral lists this non-coding RNA (227 nucleotides) under Caldibacillus debilis. Lineage: Bacteria; Bacillati; Bacillota; Bacilli; Caryophanales; Bacillaceae. The record is from RNAcentral.